GAUGAACGCUAGCUACAGGCUUAACACAUGCAAGUCGAGGGGAAACGAUGAGAGAGCUUGCUCUCUUAGGCGUCGACCGGCGCACGGGUGAGUAACGCGUAUCCAACCUACCCAUUACAGGGGGAUAACCUUGCGAAAGUAAGACUAAUACCCCAUGGCAUUUUAUGGUGGCAUCAUUAUAGGAUUAAAGAUUUAUUGGUAAUGGAUGGGGAUGCGUCCGAUUAGCUUGUUGGCGGGGUAACGGCCCACCAAGGCAACGAUCAGUAGGGGUUCUGAGAGGAAGGUCCCCCACAUUGGAACUGAGACACGGUCCAAACUCCUACGGGAGGCAGCAGUGAGGAAUAUUGGUCAAUGGGCGAGAGCUUGAACCAGCCAAGUAGCGUGCAGGAUGACGGCCCUAUGGGUUGUAAACUGCUUUUAUAGGGGAAUAAAGUGAGCUACGUGUAGUUUAUUGCAUGUACCCUAUGAAUAAGGACCGGCUAAUUCCGUG
This 490-nucleotide ribosomal RNA is filed under the name uncultured bacterium. RNAcentral's name for it is "partial 16S ribosomal RNA". It matches the Rfam family "Bacterial small subunit ribosomal RNA", at positions 28 to 507 of the family's 1533-position model. The record is from RNAcentral.